AUUUUGGUUUAUAUCAUUAUUUAAAAUAAUAUUAUAUAAGUAAAAGAAUUGAACUUUAUCCACAAAAAAAGUACUGAGAAGGAAAGUCUUGUUAAUUUUAAAGAAUUUAUUUAUUAUACCUUUUGUAUCAGGGUUUAUUCAAUUUUGACCACUAUUGUCAAAUCCCGAAAUAAGGUGAUCUAUGUUAAUUAAAGAUGAUUGUUUCAUAACUCUCUUUAAGAUUAACAUCGGUGUAAAAAAUAUUUCGUACCUAUAUAUCUGGUUGGCAGAAGACUCCUUUAGGGUACUCCGGAAGGAAAAUUUUCUAGGGGACGAGCUCUAGAAAAAAUUAUAUCAAAUUAUUACCAGCGAUAUGAAUAGGCUUAAAAGUUGCCAGGGUGUAAUAACCAGGCUCGUUUAAAUAAUAAUUUAAAGUUGAUUAAUUGAAUCUAGCCGAUGCUUAUCACUAACAUUGAGCAGUCAUAAUGAUAAAAUUAGUAUAUGUAUAAAAAUGUAAUAGAAUCUACUCCAAAAAUUUUGGAAGGAAUUCGGCAAAACUUGCCUCCGCCUGUUUAACAAAAACAUCGCCUCUUAAUUUUAGGAGGUCGGGCCUGCCCACUGAUUAAUUAAAGGGCCGUGGUAUACUGACCAUGCGAAGGUAGCAUAAUCAUUAGCCUUUUGAUUUGAGGCUGGAAUGAAUGGUCUGACGAGAGGCAACCUGUCUCCUUAAUUAACUUGAAUUUAAUCUUUAAGUGAAAAAGCUUAAAUAGCCUUGGAGGACGAUAAGACCCUAUAGAUCUUUACAUCCGGCUUUUUCAUCUAACGGUGGGUAAUCGGGUGGAAGAGGAGGAUGUUUGGUUGGGGCGACGUCGAGAGGAGAAUAAACACUCGAGAAUACAUACAUACAUCAAUAAAUGAUCAUUGAUCCUUAGAUGAAAAUAGAGUAAGUUACCUUAGGGAUAACAGCGUAAUUCUUUUUGAGAGCUCAAAUCGACAAAAGAGUUUGCGACCUCGAUGUUGGUUCAGGGACCCUAUUUGGUGCAGCAGCUUAAUCAGGUAGUCUGUUCGACUAUUAAACCCCUACGUGAUCUGAGUUCAGACCGGCGUAAGCCAGGUUAGUUUCUACCCCCAAGACAAAUUUAUCCAGGAUAGUACGAAAGGACCUCCUGGGAUUU
Molecule: ribosomal RNA, 1154 nt
Filed under: Artemia urmiana
Lineage: Eukaryota; Metazoa; Arthropoda; Branchiopoda; Anostraca; Artemiidae
Description: 16S ribosomal RNA
Rfam family: Bacterial large subunit ribosomal RNA
Source: RNAcentral